This 253-nucleotide ribosomal RNA is filed under the name uncultured bacterium. RNAcentral describes it as "partial 16S ribosomal RNA". It matches the Rfam family "Bacterial small subunit ribosomal RNA", at positions 524 to 776 of the family's 1533-position model. The record is from RNAcentral.
UACGUAGGCAGCGAGCGUUGUUCGGAAUUACUGGGCGUAAAGAGCGUGUAGGCGGUGCUCUAAGUUCGGUGUGAAAUCUCCUGGCUCAACUGGGAGGGUGCGCCGGAAACUGGAGUGCUUGAGCGUGGGAGAGGAAAGCGGAAUUCCUGGUGUAGCGGUGAAAUGCGUAGAUAUCAGGAGGAACACCUGUGGUGUAGACGGCUUUCUGGACCAUAGCUGACGCUGAGACACGAAAGCGUGGGUAGCAAACAGG